ACUACGGGUGGCAGCAGUCGAGAAUCAUUCACCAUGGGGGAACCCCUGAUGGUGCGACGCCGCGUGGGGGAAUGAAGGUCUUCGGAUUGUAAACCCCUGUCAUGUGGGAGCAAAUUAAAAAGAUAGUACCACAAGAGGAAGAGACGGCUAACUCUGUGCCAGCAGCCGCGGUAAUACAGAGGUCUCAAGCGUUGUUCGGAAUCACUGGGCGUAAAGGGUGCGUCGGCUGUUUCGUAAGUCGUGUGUGAAAGGCACGGGCUCAACCCGCGGACGGCAGAUGAUACUGCGAGACUAGAGUAAUGGAGGGGGAACCGGAAGUCUCGGUGUAGCAGUGAAAUGCGUAGAUAGCGAGAGGAACACUGGGGGCGAAGGCGGGUUCCUGGACAUUAACUGACGCUGAGGCACGAAGGCCAGGGGAGCGAAAGGGAUUAGAUACCCGUGUAGUC
This 446-nucleotide ribosomal RNA is filed under the name uncultured bacterium. RNAcentral's name for it is "partial 16S ribosomal RNA". It matches the Rfam family "Bacterial small subunit ribosomal RNA", at positions 338 to 795 of the family's 1533-position model. The record is from RNAcentral.